UACGUAGGGUGCGAGCGUUACCCGGAUUUACUGGGCGUAAAGGGGGCGUAGGCGGCCGUGAAAGUCCGGUGUGAAAACUCACGGCUCAACCGUGGGACUGCGCUGGAAACUACACGGCUUGAGGACGGUAGAGGGAGACGGAACUGCUGGUGUAGGGGUGAAAUCCGUAGAUAUCAGCAGGAACGCCGGUGGAGAAGUCGGUCUCCUGGGCCGUAACCGACGCUGAGGCACGAAAGCUAGGGGAGCGAACCGG
RNAcentral lists this ribosomal RNA (253 nucleotides) under uncultured microorganism. RNAcentral's name for it is "partial 16S ribosomal RNA". It matches the Rfam family "Bacterial small subunit ribosomal RNA", at positions 524 to 776 of the family's 1533-position model. The record is from RNAcentral.